CCCUUAGAUGUUCUGGGCCGCACGCGCGCUACACUGAUUCAUGCAACAAGUUUUGUCCUUGGCUGAUAGGCCUGGGUAAUCUUUGAACGUGAAUCGUGAUGGGGAUAGAUGAUUGCAAUUAUUCAUCUUCAACGAGGAAUUCCUAGUAAACGCAAGUCAUCAGCUUGCAUUGAUUACGUCCCUGCCCUUUGUACACACCGCCCGUCGCUCCUACCGAUUUCGAGUGGUUCGGUGAACCUUUCGGACCGGCAAUGCCUCGUGUUGCGCCGGAAAGUCAAGUAAACCAUAUCACUUAGAGGAAGGAGAAGUCGUAACA
RNAcentral lists this ribosomal RNA (316 nucleotides) under uncultured eukaryote. RNAcentral's name for it is "partial 18S ribosomal RNA". It matches the Rfam family "Eukaryotic small subunit ribosomal RNA", at positions 1470 to 1796 of the family's 1831-position model. The record is from RNAcentral.